This 477-nucleotide unclassified non-coding RNA is filed under the name plant metagenome. RNAcentral describes it as "partial contains 5.8S ribosomal RNA, internal transcribed spacer 2, and large subunit ribosomal RNA". The record is from RNAcentral.
CCGCAACGAUAGUCUUCCCGGGCAAGUGUAUUGGCUCUGUAGAUUGACCACCACUCCAGAUUCCACGGCCCUCGGUAGCCAAUCUCGUUCAAAAUGGCUUGGACGGAGGCGCGGACACUCGAUUCGGAGGUCGCUUCUUCAUCGGAUUCAUCUUUCUCUAAUUGAUAAUCGAUGCGCCAAAUGUCGUCCGGUUGACGAUGAAUAAGCACUGUUCCGCCGGGACGUGAUCGCGGGUCGAACAAGGCUCGGCGAACCGUGGGGAAGUCAUGCGGCAUCUGAACAUCCGCAAUCACGUACCGGCCCUCGUAGUUUUCUCCUUUUAGUCGUAGCCCAAGCAUUCCGCGCACCGUCGAGCGCGCGCCGUCGGCAGCGAGAACCCAGGCAGAAUUUAGGGCAUAGCCGCGCCGGCUGUCUCGCAUCUCAAGGCUUACACUCUCCGUCCCCUGAUGAAUUGCCACGACCUCCGUGUCCCACCGC